This 527-nucleotide ribosomal RNA is filed under the name uncultured Rhodocyclaceae bacterium. RNAcentral's name for it is "bacterial SSU rRNA". It matches the Rfam family "Bacterial small subunit ribosomal RNA", at positions 8 to 526 of the family's 1533-position model. The record is from RNAcentral. Lineage: Bacteria; Pseudomonadati; Pseudomonadota; Betaproteobacteria; Rhodocyclales; Rhodocyclaceae.
AGAGUUUGAUCCUGGCUCAGAUUGAACGCUGGCGGAAUGCUUUACACAUGCAAGUCGAACGGCAGCACGGGAGCUUGCUCCUGGUGGCGAGUGGCGAACGGGUGAGUAAUGCAUCGGAACGUACCGAGUAAUGGGGGAUAACGCAUCGAAAGGUGUGCUAAUACCGCAUACGCCCUGAGGGGGAAAGUGGGGGAUUCGCAAGGACCUCACGUUAUUCGAGCGGCCGAUGCCUGAUUAGCUAGUUGGUGAGGUAAAGGCUCACCAAGGCGACGAUCAGUAGCUGGUCUGAGAGGAUGAUCAGCCACACUGGAACUGAGACACGGUCCAGACUCCUACGGGAGGCAGCAGUGGGGAAUUUUGGACAAUGGGCGCAAGCCUGAUCCAGCCAUUCCGCGUGAGUGAAGAAGGCCUUCGGGUUGUAAAGCUCUUUCGGCAGGGAAGAAAUCGCGAGGGGUAAUAUCCCUCGCGGAUGACGGUACCUGAAGAAGAAGCACCGGCUAACUACGUGCCAGCAGCCGCGGUAAUAC